GGUAAGUGGCGACGACCGGGAAUUAGCCCAGCGACCGAAUCCUGUAUCUUUGGUACUAGGAAUUGUGGUGUAAAGGUUGUGUCUUUAGUUGCUUGAGUAUGCUCCAAAUUCACUUGAUUGUGAUAUUGUCCAGAGAGGGUGUUAGACCCGUUGGAGUGUACAUUGGUGAUUAUUGAUGCUUCCUAUGAGUCGGAUUGUUUGAGAAUGCAGUCCAAAUUUGGUGGUAAACUCCAUCUAAGGCUAAAUACUUGUAUGAGUCCGAUAGCAAACAAGUACCGUGAGGGAAAGUUGAAAAGAACUUUGAAGAGAGAGUUAAAUAGUACGUGAAAUCGCUUAGAGGUAAACGAGUGGAGCCGAAAAGAUCGGAUGGGAUUCAGUUGGAUGUAUGGCGAUGAAGGUGUUCAGUAACAACCACAACAGGCAUUACUGGAUCUUUAUGUAAUUGUCGUACGUACAAUGCACUUUCUGUUCGAUUGGACUGUGACCAAUAGGAUUGUUUUUCUGUCGUAAAGUUGAAGGUGAUCAGUUGCUUGCAAUUGGUUUUAUAGCUCUUUGCACGGUCAAAUGUUAUGUAUUGGUGAAUUAGCAAUCAGUCAAUGUUGGCAAUUUAUUAUAUAUGUCAUUUGGUAGUAGACUACAUGUAGACUAUUGUCAAAUGGUGUGUGUGAUGGAUUGUUGAUGGAUUGGUUUAAAGUCACAGUAUUAUGUAGGUUAUCUACUCGUCCCGUCUUGAAACACGGACCAAGGAGUUUUAUAUGAUCGCGAGUCAAAGGGCUUUACGAAACCCCCAGGGCGUAAUUAAUGUAAAGGUUUACUUUCGUGAACUGAGAUGUGAUCSUGAGUGAGGUGUUGUUUCUGACAAUAUCGCUAUCAGUGCAAUAUCGACCCGUCUAAAGAUGUUCGCAUCUGGGCGGAGUUUGAGCGAUCAUGUAGAGACCCGAAAGAUGGUGAACUAUGCUUGUGCAGGUUGAAGUCAGAGGAAACUCUGAUGGAGGACCGCCGCGGUUCUGACGUGCAAAUCGAUCGUCGGACAUGAGUAUAGGGGCGAAAGACUAAUCGAACCAUCUAGUAGCUGGUUCCCUCCGAAGUUUCCCUCAGGAUAGCUGGCAUUUGUUGUCGUAGUUUGACCUGGUAAAGCGAAUGAUUAGAAGUAUUGGGGGCGAAAUGCCUUCAACUUAUUCUCAAACUUUAAAUGGGUUCGAUGUGUGACUCGCUUCAUUGGAGUUGCACGUUGAAUACGAAUGCCUAGUGGGCCAUUUUUGGUAAGCAGAACUGGCGAUGUGGGAUGAACCAAACAUCUGGUUAAGGUGCCUAACAUCACGCUCAUGAGAUCCCACAAAAGGUGUUGGUUGAUAAAGACAGCAGGACGGUGGACAUGGAAGUCGUCAUCCGCUAAGGAGUGUGUAACAACUCACCUGCCGAAUCAACCAGCCCUGAAAAUGGAUGGCGCUGUAGCGUGAGACCUAUACCGGAUCGGUAUCGUAAGUUGACGAGUAAGACGAGUAAACGAUACCGUGUAGGAGGGUGCCGUGGUUGCUAAGAAGCUACUGGCGUGAGUCAGAGUGGAGCGGCCACGGG
Molecule: ribosomal RNA, 1578 nt
Filed under: Choeradoplana agua
Lineage: Eukaryota; Metazoa; Platyhelminthes; Tricladida; Geoplanidae
Description: eukaryotic LSU rRNA
Rfam family: Eukaryotic large subunit ribosomal RNA
Source: RNAcentral